RNAcentral lists this microRNA (21 nucleotides) under Chrysemys picta (Painted turtle). RNAcentral describes it as "cpi-miR-302c-3p". Its record names the gene cpi-miR-302c-3p. Lineage: Eukaryota; Metazoa; Chordata; Testudines; Emydidae. The record is from miRBase by way of RNAcentral. RNAcentral also lists the same sequence under 1 other name.
UAAGUGCUUCCAUGUUUCAGU